This 159-nucleotide ribosomal RNA is filed under the name uncultured bacterium. Its description in RNAcentral is "partial 16S rRNA". It matches the Rfam family "Bacterial small subunit ribosomal RNA", at positions 355 to 511 of the family's 1533-position model. The record is from RNAcentral.
UGAGGAAUAUUGGACAAUGGGUUAGCGCCUGAUCCAGCCAUCCCGCGUGAAGGACGACGGCCCUAUGGGUUGUAAACUUCUUUUGUAUAGGGAUAAACCUACUCUCGUGAGAGUAGCUGAAGGUACUAUACGAAUAAGCACCGGCUAACUCCGAGCCAG